UUAGAGUUUGAUCCUGGCUCAGGAUGAACGCUGGCGGCGUGCCUAAUACAUGCAAGUCGAGCGAAUGGAUUAAGAGCUUGCUCUUAUGAAGUUAGCGGCGGACGGGUGAGUAACACGUGGGUAACCUGCCCAUAAGACUGGGAUAACUCCGGGAAACCGGGGCUAAUACCGGAUAACAUUUUGAACUGCAUGGUUCGAAAUUGAAAGGCGGCUUCGGCUGUCACUUAUGGAUGGACCCGCGUCGCAUUAGCUAGUUGGUGAGGUAACGGCUCACCAAGGCAACGAUGCGUAGCCGACCUGAGAGGGUGAUCGGCCACACUGGGACUGAGACACGGCCCAGACUCCUACGGGAGGCAGCAGUAGGGAAUCUUCCGCAAUGGACGAAAGUCUGACGGAGCAACGCCGCGUGAGUGAUGAAGGCUUUCGGGUCGUAAAACUCUGUUGUUAGGGAAGAACAANGUGCCUAGUUGAAUAAGCUGGC
Molecule: ribosomal RNA, 481 nt
Filed under: Bacillus sp. RKVR_F4
Lineage: Bacteria; Bacillati; Bacillota; Bacilli; Caryophanales; Bacillaceae
Description: bacterial SSU rRNA
Rfam family: Bacterial small subunit ribosomal RNA
Source: RNAcentral